Molecule: long non-coding RNA, 337 nt
Organism: Cyprinus carpio carpio
Lineage: Eukaryota; Metazoa; Chordata; Actinopteri; Cypriniformes; Cyprinidae
Source: Ensembl
CUCGUUGUGUACAUGUGUUUGCUCCAGCGCCCUUUGUGUGGAUUUACCCUGUGUUUUUUGGAUCAAAGACUGUUUACAUUUCCUCAUGCCUCCUGCGUGCUCCUUCCUACAGCGUACCGUGACAGAAGACACAACCAACCUCCAAAGCUCGGACUCCGCCUCGGCCCGUAGACCCAUCAGCUCCACCUCGGCUACUAGCUCCCUCGCCUCCACCGUCAACUGUUAAUCCUCCAGCUCCACUGGGCUCCCUUGUCCCUCUGGCUCCACCUUAGUCGGGUGUCGACUCGCCAUUGUCUCCGCUCCUCCUGCUGCACCUCGUCGCAGGUCGCCAGAGCCC